GCCAACGUCGCAUAACUCGGUAUUGCGCUGGUCUUGAAAACCAGUUCCGUUAGGAAUUCCCGGUUCAAAUCCGGGCGUUGGCG
This 83-nucleotide transfer RNA is filed under the name Candidatus Woesearchaeota archaeon CG10_big_fil_rev_8_21_14_0_10_36_11. RNAcentral's name for it is "tRNA-Ser". It matches the Rfam family "tRNA". From Rfam's summary of the family: Transfer RNA (tRNA) molecules are approximately 80 nucleotides in length. Their secondary structure includes four short double-helical elements and three loops (D, anti-codon, and T loops). The record is from RNAcentral. Lineage: Archaea; Nanobdellati; Candidatus Woesearchaeota.